This 1010-nucleotide long non-coding RNA is filed under the name Homo sapiens (human). Its description in RNAcentral is "HSALNT0368051". Lineage: Eukaryota; Metazoa; Chordata; Mammalia; Primates; Hominidae. The record is from RNAcentral.
CACACCACUGCACUCCAGCCUGGGCGACAGUGAGACCUGGUCUCAAAAAAAAAAAUUCAUUUCCAACAGGGAUAGGCACGCAGUCCGGGCUUGGGCAGAGCACUCACUACCCUCAAGGCAGCUCAACCACCGCCAGGCAGUUCAGACUGUUAGAAAGUGUUUCAAAAAGGAUGGCCCUGCUAUGGACUACCUCACACUGCCAGCAGCACACACUGAGCUCACGUCUCCUCUACAUGUUCCUGGACUUUUGCUCCAACUUAAGUAUAGAAUGCACCCCAACUUAAGUAUAGUUUAACACUUGAUUUUCUUGGUUUCAGGCCAUCCUUCUGGGUCGUUUUGAGUGCUGUUUGGAUCUCAAUGUGAUCAUCUGGGGAAUGUGCUCUCUUUUCAUUGGCGUCAUCUGAAAUAGAAUAAGCACGUGCUUCUUGUCUUCAUCUAAGAGGUGGGAGAAAAUGAGAAACAGGACAGGACCGAGGGCAGAGUCUCAGGACCAGAGACUGCCCACCAGGUGCAGCUCAUCAAACUACUUCCUUCCUCACAACGGACUUUGCGUAUGCUUAGCUUCCAGCAGUUCAUCAACAGAGGCAAGCGCCAGAACCCAGAGCUGCCUGAAGCAGACAGGAUGCACUUGGAUGUUCGAGUAAAAAGCUGGAAGGUCAUCCUCUUCAAGGGAGCAAGGAUGGACACACAGUAGCUGCGUCUGGUGACACCGCCCCACCUUCCUGGCCCUUUCCUGCUUCUCAUCUUGAUUGUGGAUUGCCAGAUGAAUGAGAAACCUCAGCCCCAGGGCUUCAGCAGUCCCCACAGUGAAUCUACACGUGCCUUGGCUGCCUGAGGAUUCGAUGUCGUCAGCAGUGGUCAGGUCACCACCUCCCCACAUGUACAAGUCCUUGACUACCCACACCGGUCACAUGUUCCCCGCCCUCUAGGGUCACGGUGAUAGUCUCUUGCAGCCAUAGAGCUCUGCUCCUCUUUAGUGGCUUUUCUUUUUUUUUUUUUUUUUUUUUUUU